GUCGACGAACUUCUUUAUCACCGAGUGCUUGCACUCACCGAUAAAGAGUUGAGUGGCGAACGGGUGAGUAACACGUGGGCAACCUGCCCAAAAGAGGGGGAUAACACUUGGAAACAGGUGCUAAUACCGCAUAACCAUAGUUACCGCAUGGUAACUAUGUAAAAGGUAGCUAUGCUACCGCUUUUGGAUGGGCCCGCGGCGCAUUAGCUAGUUGGUGGGGUAAAGGCUUACCAAGGCAAUGAUGCGUAGCCGAACUGAGAGGUUGAUCGGCCACAUUGGGACUGAGACACGGCCCAAACUCCUACGGGAGGCAGCAGUAGGGAAUCUUCCACAAUGGGCGAAAGCCUGAUGGAGCAACGCCGCGUGGGUGAAGAAGGUCUUCGGAUCGUAAAACCCUGUUGUUAGAGAAGAAAGUGCGUGAGAGUAACUGUUCACGUUUCGACGGUAUCUAACCAGAAAGCCACGGCUAACUACGUGCCAGCAGCCGCGGUAAUACGUAGGUGGCAAGCGUUAUCCGGAUUUAUUGGGCGUAAAGGGAACGCAGGCGGUCUUUUAAGUCUGAUGUGAAAGCCUUCGGCUUAACCGGAGUAGUGCAUUGGAAACUGGGAGACUUGAGUGCAGAAGAGGAGAGUGGAACUCCAUGUGUAGCGGUGAAAUGCGUAGAUAUAUGGAAGAACACCAGUGGCGAAAGCGGCUCUCUGGUCUGUAACUGACGCUGAGGUUCGAAAGCGUGGGUAGUAAACAGGAUUAGAUCCCCUGGUAGUCCACGCCGUAAA
This 776-nucleotide ribosomal RNA is filed under the name uncultured bacterium. RNAcentral describes it as "bacterial SSU rRNA". It matches the Rfam family "Bacterial small subunit ribosomal RNA", at positions 61 to 806 of the family's 1533-position model. The record is from RNAcentral.